AUUGAACGCUGGCGGCAGGCCUAACACAUGCAAGUCGAGCGGAUGAAGGGAGCUUGCUCCUGGAUUCAGCGGCGGACGGGUGAGUAAUGCCUAGGAAUCUGCCUGGUAGUGGGGGAUAACGUCCGGAAACGGGCGCUAAUACCGCAUACGUCCUGAGGGAGAAAGUGGGGGAUCUUCGGACCUCACGCUAUCAGAUGAGCCUAGGUCGGAUUAGCUAGUUGGUGGGGUAAAGGCCUACCAAGGCGACGAUCCGUAACUGGUCUGAGAGGAUGAUCAGUCACACUGGAACUGAGACACGGUCCAGACUCCUACGAGAAGGAGCAGUGGGGAAUAUUGGGCAACAGGCGGAAGCCUGAUCCAGCCAUGCCACGUGUGUGGAAAAGAUCUUCGGAUUGUAAAGCACUUUAAGGUGGGAGGAAGGGCAGUAAGUUAAUACCUUGCGGUUGUGACGUUAACGACAGAAUAAGCACCGGCUAACUUCGUG
Molecule: ribosomal RNA, 484 nt
Filed under: uncultured bacterium
Lineage: Bacteria
Description: partial 16S ribosomal RNA
Rfam family: Bacterial small subunit ribosomal RNA
Source: RNAcentral